UGAGGAAUAUUGGUCAAUGGGCGAUAGCCUGAACCAGCCAAGUCGCGUGAGGGAAGACGGUCCUACGGAUUGUAAACCUCUUUUGUCGGGGAGCAAUAAAGCGUACGCGUACGCAGAUGCGAGUACCCGAAGAAAAAGCAUCGGCUAACUCCGUGCC
This 157-nucleotide ribosomal RNA is filed under the name uncultured bacterium. RNAcentral's name for it is "partial 16S ribosomal RNA". It matches the Rfam family "Bacterial small subunit ribosomal RNA", at positions 355 to 509 of the family's 1533-position model. The record is from RNAcentral.